GAAAUAUUUCAAUAUAACAGAUUAUUUGAUUUUAACAGUAAGUGCUAAUCACAAAAUCGAAUCUCAAAUAAUGAAUCUGAAAAUUGGUGAAUGUCUAUUUGUACUUCUGGUGAUUGGGUGCGCAGGAAUAAGGGCAGAUUGUGAUCAGAUACCCGGAGAAAGUAUGAAGGACACUACAUAUGAAAGACAUAAACCCUGGUCGCCGGAUAUCCGAUUGUCAGGAUAUCCGGAGAACGACGAUAUCAUUGAUAACAUCGACGAGGCUGAUUUAUUAGAAUGAAGCAACAGGUCUUAAUAAAAUAUCUAUUCAGUUCUGAAUUCAUUAUUUUUCGGGCAUGAAACAAACUAAAUAAAUUUUUAUGAAGAUCUAAAAUAGCCUUUUCAUCCGGUAAAAACUAAAUCACUGAUUUUCUAUAAUAAAUGACUAAAUUAGUCCAGUUCCAGGUUUCAAAGCUAUUUCAGGGCUUUUAAUAAUAAUCUUAUAUUUUGUGUUCCAAGUUUCAAAAAAGUAAACCAUAUUUACGUUCGAUUGGGAGUACGAAGUUUAUGUAUUUUGAAAUAAUUAAUAACAACAUUUUUCGCGUAGGUUGAUGAUACCGGAUAAUUCGGCGUACUUACUGUGUUUUAUGUAUGAAAUGCUUUGUAUUUGUGCCAGUUUUCUUUUUCAGUUUGAAAAUUUGAACAAACAUUGUUAAAAUCACGAAUUGAUUAAAUACAUACACUUUUUCAGCAGAGUUCGAUUUUGCUUAUGGGUUUAUUUGAAUAG
Styela clava is the source of this 766-nucleotide long non-coding RNA. RefSeq lists it as uncharacterized. Lineage: Eukaryota; Metazoa; Chordata; Ascidiacea; Stolidobranchia; Styelidae. The record is from RefSeq and is a predicted model, not a curated record.